Molecule: ribosomal RNA, 407 nt
Filed under: uncultured delta proteobacterium
Lineage: Bacteria; Deltaproteobacteria
Description: partial 16S ribosomal RNA
Rfam family: Bacterial small subunit ribosomal RNA
Source: RNAcentral
CCUACGGGAGGCAGCAGUAAGGAAUCUUGCGCAAUGGGGGAAACCCUGACGCAGCGACGCCGCGUGGGCGAUGAAGGCCUUCGGGUCGUAAAGCCCUGUCAGGUGGGAAGAAACAUGUUGAUGUGAAUAACAUCAACAUCUGACGGUACCACCAGAGGAAGCACCGGCUAACUCCGUGCCAGCAGCCGCGGUAAUACGGAGGGUGUAAGCGUUGUUCGGAAUUACUGGGCGUAAAGCGCGUGUAGGCGGUUGAGCAAGUCAGAUGUAAAAUCCUUCCGCUCAACGGGGGAAGGGCAUUUGAAACUACUCACCUAGAGUACGGGAGAGGAGAGUGGAAUUCCCGGUGUAGGGGUAAAAUUCGUAGAUAUCGGGAGGAACACCGGUGGCGAGGGCGGCUCUCUGGCCCG